This 466-nucleotide ribosomal RNA is filed under the name uncultured bacterium. Its description in RNAcentral is "partial 16S ribosomal RNA". It matches the Rfam family "Bacterial small subunit ribosomal RNA", at positions 28 to 507 of the family's 1533-position model. The record is from RNAcentral.
GACGAACGCUGGCGGCGUGCUUAACACAUGCAAGUCGAACGGUGAAGCUCCAGCUUGCUGGAGUGGAUCAGUGGCGAACGGGUGAGUAACACGUGAGCAACCUGCCCCUGACUCUGGAAUAAGCGCUGGAAACGGCGUCUAAUACUGGAUACGAGAAGGGUCCGCAUGGGCACCUUCUGGAAAGUUUUUCGGUUGGGGAUGGGCUCGCGGCCUAUCAGCUUGUUGGUGAGGUAAUGGCUCACCAAGGCGACGACGGGUAGCCGGCCUGAGGGCGACCGGCCACACUGGGACUGAGACACGGCCCAGACUCCUACGGGAGGCAGCAGUGGGGAAUAUUGCACAAUGGGCGAAAGCCUGAUGCAGCGACGCCGCGUGAGGGAUGACGGCCUUCGGGUUGUAAACCUCUUUCAGCAGGGAAGAAGCGAAAGUGACGGUACCUGCAGAAGAAGCACCGGCUAACUACGUG